This is a non-coding RNA of Lactuca sativa (garden lettuce), 5071 nucleotides long. Lineage: Eukaryota; Viridiplantae; Streptophyta; Magnoliopsida; Asterales; Asteraceae. The record is from RefSeq and is a predicted model, not a curated record.
ACGCCGCAAAUUCGAUAGCUUUUCCACACAAUUUCAUCACGUUGACACAACCAGUGCUAGACCCAUUGUUCUGAUUGUACCGAGGGUUAUUCGAUUCAUCUAGUUUGUUUGAAAUCGUUUCGCAUAAACUGAUUGAUAUUAUAUAAAUCGUACCUUCGAUGGCUUGUUCUUCAACUUCAUCCAUUCAGAAGAGCUUCAAGUAUGAUGUGUUUCUGAGUUUCAGAGGUGAAGACACUCGUACUAACUUCGUUGAUCAUCUUUAUCAUGCUCUUCAUCAGAAAAGUAUUCACACAUACAGGGACGACGUGAGAAUCAAGAAAGGGAAAAGAAUAAGUGAUGAGCUCAUCGGAUCCAUUAAAGAUUCAAAGUUCUACAUCAUUGUUUUCUCCAAGAACUAUGCAUCUUCUUGUUGAUGCUUGGAUGAACUUGUGAAGAUAAUGGAAUGUCACAGCACCACUGAGCAUACCGCCUAUCCCGUCUUCUAUGAUGUAGAGCCGUCUGAAGUCCGCAAACAAAGCGGGGCAGUAGCGGAAGCAUUUGCUAAAGCCUAAACAUGAAAAGGAAGAGGCUGCUGGGAAAUGGAGAGAGGCUCUGGGUGGGAGUUGAAGAACACCGCUAACGGGCAUGAAGCUGAAUUCAUCCAAAAAAUUGUUGAAGAGCUUUCACUAGAGCUACGAUCUGUCAGUUUCAACGUUGAUGAAAAAUUAGUAGGAAUGGAGACCUGGGUCAAGGAAGUUGUAUCAGCUUUAGGAACUGAUUUUGAUGUUGCAUGCAUCAUGAAAGGUUGGUGGAAAGAUGAUGCAAUCAAAGCGCUUGAAAGCUGUGGAUUUCAUGCUAGAAAUGGUUUAAGAGUUCUUCAACAAAAAUCUCUCAUAACUAUUAAUGGUAAUUCUAAUUAUGAGUGGGUGGACAUGCAUGACCAUAUUUUAGAAAUGGGCAGGAAUAUUGUUCGUCGGCUGCACACAAACAUAGCCGAUUGUGGAUUAACAAAGAAAUUGAAGACAUAUUGGCUAAUGAAUUGGUAAGGAUUAAGUUUAUUUGUUAUGACUUAAAUUUCAUGGUGACUUGUUUUGGAUUACAGGGUACUAAAGCAACAAGAUGUAUACGAUCUACCAUGAGAUUCAAUCUGGAUAUUGGUAUAAAAGGUCUUGGAAAGAUGAAGAAACUUAGGUUUCUUUCAAUGUUUCUCCCAUUUCCCUAUAUUUCCGAAUUUAAUAUAGUUAGCCAAGACUUUCCAAAUGCUUUACAAUAUCUGCAAGUGAGAAAUUACCCUUUUAGGUCUUUACCCAAAACAUUUCAAGCAACUAAUCUUGUUGCACUUGAGAUGACAUACAGUAAGAUCGUUCAACUUUGGGAAGGGGGAGAAAGAAAGGUUCUCAACAAGCUCAGAUUCCUUGACCUUAGUGAUUCAAUGCUAAGCACCCUUGACCUUGGGCUUACUCCAAAUCUCGAGACAUUGUCUCUUCAACGUUGUGCUGAUUUGCAAGAACUUCACAUGACAAUUGGAUGUUUAAAGCUCACGUCUGUCGACCUUCAAGGUUCAAGGUUAAGGACCCUUGACCUUUGCCUGGCUCCAAAUCUUGAGACUGUGAUUCUUGCUGAAUGUUGUAAUUUGGUAGAACUUCACAUGCCCGAUAGAUGUUUAAAUCUCAGGUCCUUACUACUCUCUAAUUCCAAGUUGAAUACCCUUAACAUUGGGCUGACUCCAAAUCUUGAGUCUUUAGAUCUUAAUAAUUGUUGCUAUUUGGAAGAUUUUCACAUGGCUUGUGAAUGUCUAAAGCUGACCAAGCUCGACAUUAAUCAUUCAAAGUUGAGGACACUUGAUAUUGGGAUGACUCCGAAUCUCGAGAAUUUGGAUCUCAGUAGUUGUUAUUGUUUUGAAGAACUUCACAUGGCCGAUAAAUGUGAAAAGCUCGCGUAUCUAACAAUUAGUCAUUCAAAGUUGAGGACCCUUAACCUUGGGCUGACUCCAAAUCUCAAGACGUUACAUCUUAAAGAAUGUAGUAAUUUGGUAGAACUUCACACUCCCAUCGGAUGUCUUAAAAAGCUUGCCCACCUAGAUAUAAGUGGUUGUUUGGGGUUUAACUCUUUUUUGUUUAAUUUAAAAAAGACUAUACUUCUUGUAGUGAUGAUGAAUCACAAUCACUCGAGGAUUAUACUUCUUGUAGUUUGGAUGGAUCGUUUGAGGCCGAUCCUUUAACUGAGUUACAUAUCAUUGUAAAGUCCAUAGAAAGCUGCCCACUUCAUCCCAACAAUAUCUUGCCAAAGUUUCAGUUUAGUUGUUUCUAUGAAGAAGAUCGACCUUCAUUGACUGGAAAUCAUGAGAUGCUUAUUUCUCUAGGUAUGUGUGCUUGAGACUUUUUUAGGAAUUGUUGGUGGGUUACGGCGUUUAAGAAAGUUUAAACUAGAAGGCGAUAUUCUUGAGAACCUUGACCAGUCAAUGAAGGCUGUUGAGUUAGUUUUGUUGUCUACAACGCUUAACUAUCUUCCGGAUAAUAUUUGGAUGUUGAAACAUCUAAAAUCUCUCAAACUUAAUCUUUGUGUGUGGCUUGAGAAGUUACCCGAGGAUCUUGGCCGAUUAGAAUGUUUAGAGAAGCUGAAUUUUUCAUAUAUAAAGAUUAGCCAUCUUCCGGAUAUGUUGAAACAUCUGAAAUCUCUCCAACUUAGAUUCUGUUGCUUUCUUGAGAAGUUACCAGAGGAUCUUGGCCGAUUAGAGAGUCUAGCUUUAUCUUGUACAAUGAUUAAAGAACUUCCAGAUAGCAUUUGCAUGUUGAAACAUCUGAAAUCUCUCGAGCUUAUUUCUUGUUCGUUGCUUGAGAAGUUACCUGAGGAUCUUGGAGGACAACUGGAAUGUUUAGAGAAGUGUAAAUUUUUACAAGGAAUCCCGAAUAGCAUCGGUAAGAUGAAAUGUCUAAGAUAUUUCCAUCUCCCCUAUUGUAUUCGAGUUGAGAAAUUGCCUGAGGAACUUGGAAGUUUUGAAUGUUUAAAAGAGUUGGAUAUACAAGGUACAAGCAUAAGUCAUCUUCCGAAGAGCAUUUUUUUGUUGAAAGAUGUACAUAUUAAAAUCGGCCACGACUUGGAUCAUCUUGUCAGUUAGAGUUAAGUUGAAAAUCCUGAUAUAACUUGGUUCAUCUUAAUGUAGGGUCUCAUGUUAACUACCUGAAUCAAGCAGCUAGUCAUUUGUCUAUGGACCACAUUUAUGUUCCACUUGAAUCACCUACCAUCACAUGUUCUCAAAUUUCUGGUGUUACAAAUUAAGAGCCAAUUCCAGUUUUUUACCAACUGUCAGUUAUAACAUGGGUGGAAUCCCAACAAAUUACCAUGGGGAGGGGAAAUACAUAUAGAACCAUCGAUUCCAAUAGUUGCAGUCUCUAUUGCAAAAAAUGAACAGUGUAUGUGAAAAGUGAAAUUAUACCUAAGGGGAAUCAACGUUACAACCAAGUUGUGAUUCAACAUUGUAGCCGCAAGACCAGACGUGGUCUUGAAAAGUAAUGACGAUAUAUUGGUAAUGACCGGUGGCGAAGCUGGAAACAUCAGGAGGAAAGGAUGAGAUUGUAGUGGGUUCGUAGGCGUUAGAAUUGAUUCCGGUGACGUAGAUGGGUUGGCUAAGAGCACCAUGGGUGUCGUCUCGUUUUUCCAACAUCCCAGGAUUGAUUCACUAAUUUUCCAUCAACGAGAAUCUUGAAGAACACACAAAUGGCAAAUAUAUUUUAUUUAUGGGUUUAGGGUUGGUUCCACCUCAUUUUCCUCACGCUUCCUCUUCCCAUUUCUUUUCAUCUCCAAUAAUUUUUCAUCCUCCACUGUCACAUACAACAAACAAUCACACAACUUCGGUUGAUCUCUCUAAAUCCCUAAUGUUCUUAAAAUUACAUCAACUAAUCAUUUACCCGGAUGCCGGAUUUGGAUAAACCAGGUACGUCCAUGUACAUAAUCAGUUCCUUCGGUGUCUCCAGUAUAUCCACUGCAAUGUUGCCUUCCGAUUCGCCAUUUCCUUGAGGAGAACGAGAAGAAGGGAAGAUUACCUUACCAAUUGCGUCAGGGAUGUCCAACUGAUGUGGUUGGUGUUAGUUUGGCCCAGAAACAAAAUCGAAAAAUGAUUUGUCGAGGUGUUUAGUUUUUUCCAAUUUUUGCAUAAUCGAUUUUCAGAGUAUGUAUAUGUGUAUGUAUGAGUUACAAUGUAGAUGACGAUAGGUUUAGUUCUACUAUGAUAUAGAGGGAGAGACAUAUAUAUAUAGAGAGAGAGAGAGAGGUGGGUCCUCUAUUUUUUUAAUUGUUAAAAUAAAUAAAUAAAUAUUAAAUUAAAAAAAUGAAAGAAUAAAUGAAAAAUAAAUAACCCAAGGGUAUUAUAGUCAUUUCAAUUUUCAGAGGGACUAUUUUCACAUACAAACUACUCCAAAAGGACCAUGAAUCAAAAAACUCAGGGUUUGGACUAAAACCCCAAAAAUUUGCAUAGCACAGGGACCAUUUUUGCAGUUUUGUCGGUUGAUUAUAAAAAAAAUAGUAAAUUACACGAAUGGUCCCUAUGGUUUAAGAUAAUUUGCGUGUUUGGUCCCUAACUUAUUUUUUUACUCGGAAAGUCCCUACUGGUUGUUUUUGUUACGCUUGUGGUCCCUGUUUUACCUAAAAAAACUAUUUUGUCAUUCAUUUUUUAAUUUAUUUAAAUAAACACACCCCCAACACCACCCCCUCACCUUACCUUACAUACUCCAUCAUUUUUCUGUAUUUAAAUAAUAGUCUUUUUAGGUAAGACAGGGACCAAACGUGUAACAAAAGCAAAUAGUAGGGAUCAAGCACAUAACAAUAUCAAACAGUAAGGACCUUCCGAGUUAAAAAAUAAGUUAGAGAUUAAACGCGUAAAUUACUCCAAACCAUAGGGACCAUUCGUGUAAUUUACUCUAAAAAAAUUACAUAUAAAAAUAUAAAUAUUAAUUUUUUAAAAAGUAUUAUUUUGAAAUAAUACAAAUGAAAUGAUGAAUAAUCAAGUAAUUCAAUAUAUAUAUUGAUAAAAAAAAUAUUGACAUAUUUUAAAUAAUUGUGUUGUAUAUCAAAAUGUAAACAUUAAGCAUUUUUU